GCCACGGCUAACUACGUGCCAGCAGCCGCGGUAAUACGUAGGUGGCAAGCGUUGUCCGGAUUUACUGGGCGUAAAGGGAGCGUAGGUGGAUUCUUAAGUGAGAUGUGAAAUACCCGGGCUUAACUUGGGUGCUGCAUUUCAAACUGGGAAUCUAGAGUGCAGGAGAGGAAAGUGGAAUUCCUAGUGUAGCGGUGAAAUGCGUAGAGAUUAGGAAGAACACCAGUGGCGAAGGCGACUUUCUGGACUGUAACUGACACUGAGGCUCGAAAGCGUGGGGAGCAAACAGGAUUAGAUACCCUGGUAGUCCACGCCGUAAACGAUGGAUACUAGGUGUGGGAGGUAUCAACUCCUUCCGUGCCGCCGUUAACACAUUAAGUAUCCCGCCUGGGGAGUACGGUCGCA
This 402-nucleotide ribosomal RNA is filed under the name uncultured bacterium. RNAcentral's name for it is "bacterial SSU rRNA". It matches the Rfam family "Bacterial small subunit ribosomal RNA", at positions 490 to 890 of the family's 1533-position model. The record is from RNAcentral.